UACGUAGGGUCCGAGCGUUGUCCGGAAUUAUUGGGCGUAAAGAGCUCGUAGGCGGUUUGUCGCGUCUGCUGUGAAAUCCCGAGGCUCAACCUCGGGCCUGCAGUGGGUACGGGCAGACUGGAGUGCGGUAGGGGAGAAUGGAAUUCCUGGUGUAGCGGUGGAAUGCGCAGAUAUCAGGAGGAACACCGAUGGCAAAGGCAGUUCUCUGGGCCGUAACUGACGCUGAGGAGCGAAAGCGUGGGGAGCGAACAGG
RNAcentral lists this ribosomal RNA (253 nucleotides) under uncultured bacterium. RNAcentral describes it as "partial 16S ribosomal RNA". It matches the Rfam family "Bacterial small subunit ribosomal RNA", at positions 524 to 776 of the family's 1533-position model. The record is from RNAcentral.